GCUGGGCAUGGUGGCUCAUGCCUGUAAUCCCAGCACUUUGGGAGGCCGAGGUGGGUGGAUCACCUGAGGUUAGGAGUUCAAGACCAGCCUGACCAACAUGGAGAAACCCCAUCUCUA
This is an unclassified non-coding RNA of Pongo abelii (Sumatran orangutan), 117 nucleotides long. It matches the Rfam family "Metazoan signal recognition particle RNA". From Rfam's summary of the family: The signal recognition particle (SRP) is a universally conserved ribonucleoprotein. It is involved in the co-translational targeting of proteins to membranes. Lineage: Eukaryota; Metazoa; Chordata; Mammalia; Primates; Hominidae. The record is from Ensembl.